CCUACGGGUGGCUGCAGUGGGGAAUAUUGCACAAUGGGCGCAAGCCUGAUGCAGCCAUGCCGCGUGUGUGAAGAAGGCCUUCGGGUUGUAAAGCACUUUCAGCGGGGAGGAAGGCGGUGAGGUUAAUAACCUCAUCGAUUGACGUUACCCGCAGAAGAAGCACCGGCUAACUCCGUGCCAGCAGCCGCGGUAAUCCGGAGGGUGCAAGCGUUAAUCGGAAUUACUGGGCGUAAAGCGCACGCAGGCGGUCUGUGCAAGUCGGAUGUGAAAUCCCCGGGCUCAACCUGGGAACUGCAUUCGAAACUGGCAGGCGAGAGUCUUGUAGAGGGGGGUAGAAUUCCAGGUGGAGCGGUGAAAUGCGUAGAGAUCUGGAGGAAUACCGGUGGCGAAGGCGGCCCCCUGGACAAAGACUGACGCUCAGGUGCGAAAGCGUGGGGAGCAAACAGGAUUAGAUACCCCUGUAGUC
RNAcentral lists this ribosomal RNA (466 nucleotides) under uncultured Klebsiella sp. RNAcentral describes it as "bacterial SSU rRNA". It matches the Rfam family "Bacterial small subunit ribosomal RNA", at positions 338 to 795 of the family's 1533-position model. Lineage: Bacteria; Pseudomonadati; Pseudomonadota; Gammaproteobacteria; Enterobacterales; Enterobacteriaceae. The record is from RNAcentral.